Molecule: ribosomal RNA, 442 nt
Filed under: uncultured bacterium
Lineage: Bacteria
Description: bacterial SSU rRNA
Rfam family: Bacterial small subunit ribosomal RNA
Source: RNAcentral
CCUACGGGAGGCUGCAGUCGAGGAUCUUCGUCAAUGGGCGCAAGCCUGAACGAGCGAUGCCGCGUGAGCGAUGAAGGCCUUCGGGUUGUAAAGCUCAAAAGGGGUGAGAAAGGGCAACUUGAUCGAACCCCAGUAAGCUCGGGCUAAGUUCGUGCCAGCAGCCGCGGUAAGACGAACCGAGCGAACGUUGUUCGGAAUCACUGGGCUUAAAGGGCGCGUAGGCGGGCUCUCAAGUCCGGGGUGAAAUCCCACAGCUCAACUGUGGAACUGCCUCGGAUACUGGGGGCCUCGAGGGUGGUAGGGGUAUGCGGAACUAUCGGUGGAGCGGUGAAAUGCGUUGAUAUCGAUAGGAACUCCGGUGGCGAAGGCGGCAUACUGGACCACAUCUGACGCUGAGGCGCGAAAGCCAGGGGAGCAAACGGGAUUAGAUACCCCUGUAGUC